Danio rerio (zebrafish) is the source of this 2933-nucleotide long non-coding RNA. NCBI's taxonomy places the organism in Eukaryota, Metazoa, Chordata, Actinopteri, Cypriniformes, Danionidae. The record is from Ensembl.
CCAUAUUAGUUCAGAAUGUUGUGAGAGCAGGAAGAAGAAAGGAAGGGAGGAGACAUCUUGAGAAUUUACAAAUGUAGACUGAAGACUCGCUCAUUAUCAGGACAAACACACAGAUCUUCAAACAGGACUGAGAAAUGGCUUCACCUGAACAUUGCAAAAGACGCGACAGCAUUGAGGAACCCCCUUCUAUAGCUGAUGCGCUUGAAGAACUGAACAGACUUCAUGACAACGCUUCAUCUGGGUGUCGCGAGCAUAUAAAGAAAAUGACUGGUCUUGUUAAUGAGUUUGAAGAAGAUUAUAAACGUGCAACUCGUAACACGAGAACAGGAGAAAUUGCAACAAGAAUUGGAGAGUACGCCCUGAUUACGGGAGUGACUUUAAGUAUUUUUACUGCAGGGAUUUCUGCAAUUGUUGGUGGAAUCAUUUCUGCUACUGCCGCAGCUGGUGCAACUAUCGCAGGUGCCGCAGGUGCCGUAGCUGCCGUAGCUGGUGGAAUCAUUGUUGCUAUGGCACAUUUUCAAAAACAACAGAUAGAGAAGAACACAAGACAAAAUUUUGAAAAUCAGCUGACAGAGUUACAGAACAAAAUCUACCCUGUGAUUGAUGUGCUGCAGAAACUAUUUAAUCUGACACAGAAAAAACUGAGAGACCCUUCAAUAUCAGAGCACAAAGCUAACAUGAUACGGGAAUGUUUCUCCUGCUUUGAACAAAUUCAACUCUUCAAGAUAGAUGACAAUAUAGGAGUCACCGCACCCAUGUCUAAAGCUAAACAUCUCAAUGAACAUUUCUCAAAGGUUUUUACUGAGAUGAAUUCCUUGCUUGAAAUUCUAAAAGAGAUUAUUGAGGACGACAUUGAGGAUGACAAAGACAAGAAUGAAGACACUGACAACAGACCUACAGACAAAGCAUCCACAGGCAAAAAAGUAAAUGAAAAAGAGUUUACCAAAAAAACUGAGACAUUCAUUGAUGAAAUGAACAAAGGAAUUAAUACAUUAAAAAAUACCAUGAAUGAAAUUGACCAGAUAAAAAUUAGACUCUCACAGAGAUUUAAAUAAAUGAGUAAUGUGGAUGAGACAUUUUGUAAAAACCUAAAACUUAAAUUCAUAGAGAAUGUAUAUGCUAACAGCAUAAUCAAAACAUCUGUUUAUAUAUUUUUUCAAAUCAUUCAUUCAUUCAUUCAUUCAUUUUCUUGUCGGCUUAGUCCCUUUAUUAAUUCUGGGUCGUCACAGCGGAAUGAACCGUCAACUUAUCCAGCAAGUUUUUAUGCAGCUGAUGCUCUUCCAGCCGCAACCCAUCUCUGGGAAACACACACACACACACACACACACACUCAUACACACACACACUCAUACACUAUGGACAAUUUAGUCUACCCAAUUCACCUGUAUACCGCAUGUCUUUCGACUGUGGGGGAAACCGGAGUACCUGGAGGAAACCCACGCGAAUGCGGAGAGAACAUGCAAACUCCACACAGAAACGCCAACUGAGCCGAGACUCGAACCAGCGACCCAGCGAUCUUCUUGCUGUAAGACGACAGCACUACCUACUGCGCCUUUGCUUCGCCCUUUUUCAAAACAACUAACCACAUAAUUAAUAGAUCAAUAUCAAUCUGUUUUAUACUUUUAUUAGAAGGAAAUAAACAUGCCUUAUGGAUGUGAUCAAAACAUAUGCAGAUUUACAGUAAACAUAAUUUGUUUAAAUUAUCAAUUAAACUGCACAACCUAAAAUAAAAUAAUGCUCAUUAAAGAAAUGAGAUGUCUCUCUAUAGAACAAAAAUAAUUGAAUUUGGCAUUUAUGAGGAAAAAGCUUGAUUAUGGAUGUGACAGAUGUGAAAUUGGCACUUGUGUGACUUUGCUAAAUCAAAUAAUAUUGCUUAAAAAUGUUGACAGAGACAUUUUUUUGCAGUGCUAUACACUGCCCACUGUUCAAGCCCACACAAACAAUGUAAAAAGAGUUUUGCUAAUUUGAUAAAUACUUAAUUUCUUUCAUGUCAGGGUGACGAUAGCUUAGAAUUGCUAUUACCUGACAAAACAAAACAAUAUAAUAGUUACAAACUGUUAAAUCAAACCAAGUGAUACAGAACAACAGCAAAUAUCAACACUGCAGAUCAGCUGUUGUUACACAACUUUUUUUCCCCUACUCCACUCAAGUGUAAGUAAAUAAUUCUUCUCCAAUUCAACAGAUCAAAUAGUUCAACAGCAAGUUCAGGACAAGACUUACAAAGGCCAAAAUUCUCAUGGGAAAAUCUCUAAAACAACAGAACUUUAGUGACUAAAUAAUCAUAGUGGAUGUCUGAGUUUGUAUUAAAUGCUAUAGUAUGUUCAUGUCAUGAUGUAAUAACAAGAUAAGAGUUGUAAUCUAUCUGUUUAACAUCUUUUAUGUCCUCCGACUAGAGAUUAGCUGUUUCUAGAAUUUCAGGUAACACUUUAGCUUAGGGCACAAUUCACAUUAUUAUCAAACCAUUAGGGAACACCACUAGCUUAUUGUUUACUAGCCUCUUAUUUACAUGUAAAGUUUAUAAGUAAACUGUUUGGUUUAAUAUGUUGAUGUAUAUAUUUGUAUAUAAUUAAAAAAAAUGUUUCUUUCAUAACUUACAUGCCACUACCAUGAUAAUUGGUUAUUUACAUGUUUGUACACUUCUGUCGUCAUCUUAAAAGAGCCCACUCUCUAUAUAGAGUACAUGGAGUUGUGGAUUCAGACAGCAGUUCAGUUUCACACAAUAGAAACUGUUUUUUUUUUAUUUUUUUUUAUAAUGUGUAACAUGAAAUAAAUACAAAACAAAUUUAUUUCUUCUCUUGUAUAAACAUGUACAGUAUUCAAAUGAUGUCAAUACUGCAUAUGAUUAUAUAUGAUGUAUAUGACAUUUCUACUAAUGUUUUCAAUAAAAUGCUUUUUCAUUAAAGUCUUUGUAUAUCCCUUGUUUAUUCCCUUCA